CUCGCAGGCCGGGUGACCGCGGGCCCUCGGGCUCGAGGAAAGUCCGGACACCGCAGGGCAGGACGCUCCCGCGAGGGAGGCGGCGAAAGCCGACGGAAAGUGGCACAGAAAACAGACCGCCUGCUGCGUGAUCUCCGGAGACGCAGCCGGCAAGGGUGAAACGGUGGGGUAAGAGCCCACCAGCGGCGGUGGCGACAUCGCCGGCUCGCCAAACCCCGUCCGGUGCAAGGCAAGGAGGCUCCGCCGAGGCGGCCCGCCGAGGAGCCGGGUAGCCGCAACAGAUGGAUGGUCACCCUCGACAGAAUCCGGCUUACAGGCCUGCUACGGAG
This 329-nucleotide RNase P RNA is filed under the name Actinomycetes bacterium. RNAcentral describes it as "Actinobacteria bacterium RNase P RNA component class A". It matches the Rfam family "Bacterial RNase P class A". From Rfam's summary of the family: Ribonuclease P (RNase P) is a ubiquitous endoribonuclease, found in archaea, bacteria and eukarya as well as chloroplasts and mitochondria. Its best characterised activity is the generation of mature 5'-ends of tRNAs by cleaving the 5'-leader elements of precursor-tRNAs. The record is from RNAcentral. Lineage: Bacteria; Bacillati; Actinomycetota; Actinomycetes.